AAUAGAUACCCGGGUAGUCCACGCCCUAAACGAUGUCAACUAGCUGUUGGGGCCUUCGGGUCUUGGUAGCGCAGCUAACGCGUGAAGUUGACCGCCUGGGGAGUACGGUCGCAAGAUUAAAACUCAAAGGAAUUGACGGGGACCCGCACAAGCGGUGGAUGAUGUGGAUUAAUUCGAUGCAACGCGAAAAACCUUACCUACCCUUGACAUGUCUGGAAUGCCGAAGAGAUUUGGCAGUGCUCGCAAGAGAACCGGAACACAGGUGCUGCAUGGCUGUCGUCAGCUCGUGUCGUGAGAUGUUGGGUUAAGUCCCGCAACGAGCGCAACCCUUGUCAUUAGUUGCUACGAAAGGGCACUCUAAUGAGACUGCCGGUGACAAACCGGAGGAAGGUGGGGAUGACGUCAAGUCCUCAUGGCCCUUAUGGGUAGGGCUUCACACGUCAUACAAUGGUCGGGACAGAGGGUCGCCAACCCGCGAGGGGGAGCCAAUCCCAGAAACCCGAUCGUAGUCCGGAUCGCAGUCUGCAA
This 528-nucleotide ribosomal RNA is filed under the name uncultured bacterium. Its description in RNAcentral is "bacterial SSU rRNA". It matches the Rfam family "Bacterial small subunit ribosomal RNA", at positions 777 to 1310 of the family's 1533-position model. The record is from RNAcentral.